AGGGACGGGAUGCUGUGCAGUGUU
Molecule: microRNA, 24 nt
Filed under: Chrysemys picta bellii (western painted turtle)
Lineage: Eukaryota; Metazoa; Chordata; Testudines; Emydidae
Also listed under: 1 other name
Description: Cpi-Mir-92-P1d_5p* (star (passenger))
Source: RNAcentral